This 497-nucleotide ribosomal RNA is filed under the name uncultured bacterium. Its description in RNAcentral is "partial 16S ribosomal RNA". It matches the Rfam family "Bacterial small subunit ribosomal RNA", at positions 28 to 507 of the family's 1533-position model. The record is from RNAcentral.
GACGAACGCUGGCGGCGUGCCUAAUACAUGCAAGUAGAACGCUGAAGAGAGGAGCUUACUCUUCUUGGAUGAGUUGCGAACGGGUGAGUAACGCGUAGGUAACCUGCCUUGUAGCGGGGGAUAACUAUUGGAAACGAUAGCUAAUACCGCAUAACAAUGGAUGACACAUGUCACUUAUUUGAAAGGGGCAAUUGCUCCACUACAAGAUGGACCUGCGUUGUAUUAGCUAGUAGGUGAGGUAAUGGCUCACCUAGGCGACGAUACAUAGCCGACCUGAGAGGGUGAUCGGCCACACUGGGACUGAGACACGGCCCAGACUCCUACGGGAGGCAGCAGUAGGGAAUCUUCGGCAAUGGGGGCAACCCUGACCGAGCAACGCCGCGUGAGUGAAGAAGGUUUUCGGAUCGUAAAGCUCUGUUGUAAGUCAAGAACGGGUGUGAGAGUGGAAAGUUCACACUGUGACGGUAGCUGACCAGAAAGGGACGGCUAACUACGUG